Molecule: ribosomal RNA, 327 nt
Filed under: uncultured bacterium
Lineage: Bacteria
Description: bacterial SSU rRNA
Rfam family: Bacterial small subunit ribosomal RNA
Source: RNAcentral
GACGAACGCUGGCGGCGUGCUUAACACAUGCAAGUCGAGCGGGAUCCAACCGGUGGCAACACCGGGGAAGAUCUAGCGGCGAACGGGUGAGUAACACGUGAGCAACCUGCCCCGAAGACUGGGAUAACACCGGGAAACCGGUGCUAAUACCGGAUGUCGUCAUUAGGCCGCAUGACCUGAUGAUGAAAGGAUUCAUCGCUUCGGGAGGGGCUCGCGGGCUAUCAGCUUGNGGUGGGGUAACGGCCUACCAAGGCGACGACGGCUAGCUGGUCUGAGAGGACGACCAGCCACACUGGGACUGAGACACGGCCCAGACUCCUACGGGGA